GGGGAAUAUUGGACAAUGGGGGAAACCCUGAUCCAGCAAUGCCGCGUGAGUGAUGAAGGCCUUAGGGUUGUAAAGCUCUUUUACCCGAGAUGAUAAUGACAGUAUCGGGAGAAUAAGCUCCGGCUAACUUCGUGCCAGCAGCCGCGGUAAUACGAGGGGAGCUAGCGUUGUUCGGAAUUACUGGGCGUAAAGCGCGCGUAGGCGGUUUUUCAAGUCAGGGGUGAAAGCCCGGAGCUCAACUCCGGAACUGCCCUUGAAACUGGAUGACUUGAGUAUUGGAGAGGCAAGUGGAAUUCCGAGUGUAGAGGUGAAAUUCGUAGAUAUUCGGAAGAACACCAGUGGCGAAGGCGACUUGCUGGACAAUUACUGACGCUGAGGUGCGAAAGCGUGGGGAGCAAAC
RNAcentral lists this ribosomal RNA (400 nucleotides) under uncultured bacterium. Its description in RNAcentral is "bacterial SSU rRNA". It matches the Rfam family "Bacterial small subunit ribosomal RNA", at positions 356 to 773 of the family's 1533-position model. The record is from RNAcentral.